CCUACGGGAGGCAGCAGUGGGGAAUAUUGCACAAUGGGCGAAACCCUGAUGCAGCCAUGCCGCGUGUGUGAAGAAGUCCUUCGUUUUGUAAAGUUCUAUCCGCAGGGAAGAAAAUGACGUUACCUGUGUAAGCAGCACCGGCCAACUACGUGCCAGCAGCCGCGGUAAUACGUAGGGGGCAAGCGUUAACUGGAUUUACUGGUUGUAAAGGGAGCGUAGACGGCAGUGCAAGUCUGGAGUGAAAGGCGGGGGCUCAACCCGCGGACUGCUCUGGAGACUGUCCGGCUGGAGUGCAGUAGAGGGGGGUAGAAUUCCUGGUGUAGCGGUGAAAUGCGUAGAUAUUAGGAGGAACACCAGUGGCGAAGGCGGCUCACUGGACUGAGACUGACGUUGAGGCGCGAAAGCGUGGGGAGCAAACAGGAUUAGAUACCCCUGUAGUC
This 440-nucleotide ribosomal RNA is filed under the name uncultured bacterium. RNAcentral describes it as "partial 16S ribosomal RNA". It matches the Rfam family "Bacterial small subunit ribosomal RNA", at positions 338 to 795 of the family's 1533-position model. The record is from RNAcentral.